Long non-coding RNA from Apus apus (common swift), 1126 nucleotides. RefSeq lists it as uncharacterized. The record is from RefSeq and is a predicted model, not a curated record. NCBI's taxonomy places the organism in Eukaryota, Metazoa, Chordata, Aves, Apodiformes, Apodidae. The transcript is spliced from 5 exons.
CAUCAGCUGCUGGUUGAAUACUAUGAAACUUCCUGACUGGUUCCUGACUGGUUCCUGACUUUUCCAGGAUAAAGAUACACUGAUUUUUUUACUGACUUCCCACCAGUAAGCAAUCUGUCCAUCUUUUGACUCAUGUAAAAAGCAAGGUAGAAUGGAACAAAAAACAAUUUUCAGAAGAUGAAACUUCAUGAACUUAGACCAAAGACUUUGUGCUUCAGCCGACGUGAAAGAUGGCUCUAUCAGGAGGCCUUCCAUAUCUAUGUGAAAGAGAAGAACGGCAGGUUAGGCUCCAAAGAAGCAGGAAGCAUGGCUCUGCUUGCCUUGCUUUGAAAUGGCGACGCUCAUGACCUGGUAUCAAACGUGGGAGCUCAUGAAACCUCCUCUUGCACCGUUCACCAGGGUGUCAGCAGCUGCAAGGGAAUGGAAGACAGCACAGAAACUGCACCUGGGCCUUGCUUGGCUGCACCACCCUUAAUUAGCGUCAGUUGUGAAAGCACCAAUCAGGCCUAAUAAGGAAAGAAGCUGGUGGGGCAGAAAAUGUAAAACCACUUCACCUGGUGGCUUCUCUGGGCCUCGCACCUGUGCUCCGUUGCAAGGAAGCUUUUAAGACUGAAGCAGAAAAGGCUGCAUCUGUCCAGGAGCAGAAAAUCGGAUCGUACCGGAUGGAAGAGGGAGCACAAAGGCUUUGUGAGGAGUCAUGACAGUGGGAGGUGCCCUGAGUCGGUGAGUUUCCUCAGCAGCCUCCACCAGGCAUUAGAACUGCCGUGCAGUGACAGACAUCUGAGAGGAACGUGGAGUCCCAGAGAGGCCACCUGUGAAUCCUGGCAGCAUUACAUGACGAUGAGAAACAUAAAAAAAUGCAGAGAUGCUGGAGGUCUGUUUCCCUAAUCAAACAGAUGCAAAUGAGGGUCACACAUCACCAGCAUCAGAGAACUGCUGGUCCUGGUGCCCUCUGAAGGGCUGCAGCAACCACAGCUCUGCAGCCCCCGAGGCGUCCUCUCCCAGCACGACAACGCAGGGGCUUGCUGGGCUGCCAGGGCUGUGCUGGCUGAAGCCAUGGAUCUGCAGCUACAACUGACAGCAGGGAUCACCUUACCCAGCUGAGACAGAAGAGUUCCCUACAGGA